AGAGUUUGAUCAUGGCUCAGGAUGAACGCUAGCGGCAGGCUUAACACAUGCAAGUCGAGGGGUAUAGGUUUUCGGACCUAGAGACCGGCGCACGGGUACGUAACGCGUAUGCAAUCUACCUUUUACAGAGGGAUAGCCCAGAGAAAUUUGGAUUAAUACCUCAUAGUAUUAUUUAAUGGCAUCAUUUAAUAAUUAAAGUUCCAACGGUAAAAGAUGAGCAUGCGUCCCAUUAGCUAGAUGGUAAGGUAACGGCUUACCAUGGCAACGAUGGGUAGGGGUCCUGAGAGGGAGAUCCCCCACACUGGUACUGAGACACGGACCAGACUCCUACGGGAGGCAGCAGUGAGGAAUAUUGGUCAAUGGGCGCAAGCCUGAACCAGCCAUGCCGCGUGCAGGAUGACGGUCCUAUGGAUUGUAAACUGCUUUUGUACAGGAAGAAACAGUUCUACGUGUAGAACCUUGACGGUACUGUAAGAAUAAGGAUCGGCUAACUCCGUGCCAGCAGCCGCGGCAAUACGGAGGAUCCAAGCGUUAUCCGGAAUCAUUGGGUUUAAAGGGUCCGUAGGCGGUUUUGUAAGUCAGUGGUGAAAGCCCAUCGCUCAACGGUGGAACGGCCAUUGAUACUGCAAGACUUGAAUUAUUAGGAAGUAACUAGAAUAUGUAGUGUAGCGGUGAAAUGCUUAGAUAUUACAUGGAAUACCAAUUGCGAAGGCAGGUUACUACUAGUGGAUUGACGCUGAUGGACGAAAGCGUGGGGAGCGAACAGGAUUAGAUACCCUAGUAGUCC
Molecule: ribosomal RNA, 787 nt
Filed under: uncultured bacterium
Lineage: Bacteria
Description: bacterial SSU rRNA
Rfam family: Bacterial small subunit ribosomal RNA
Source: RNAcentral